This 728-nucleotide long non-coding RNA is filed under the name Anas platyrhynchos platyrhynchos (common mallard). Its description in RNAcentral is "lncRNA (ENSAPLG00000029130.1)". The record is from RNAcentral. Lineage: Eukaryota; Metazoa; Chordata; Aves; Anseriformes; Anatidae.
GUUGUUGUACCUGCUUACAGCUCAUCUGCUGCAUUCCUACUUGAGGGUCCCCAGGCUGCGGCUUGCUUAGAUCUGGAAUUGCCAUCCAGCAUAUGGCUGCCCUCACCUGCUCCAAUCCAUAUAUAUACAUCUGCAGUGUGAUGUUAAAAGUGUUGGGGCUAAAAUCAAGGUGGUGAAGGACCUCCUCGGCAGAACGAAAUCACAGCAUCCUCAGGAGGGUGAUGGCAUGUGGUAAGAAGCUCUGGACAGGACCAGGAGGAGAGGCCAGGGCUGGAGCAAGUCUGUAUCCUGCUGCAGCCCCGUUGCCCCCACGCUGUGUCCUGUUGCACCCUGGAGGAAGCAGAAUGGUGCUUGUGCUGCUUCAGGAAUAAGUGUGACCGUAUGGCGGUGUCAUUCCCUCACCAGGUGGUGGCAUGCAGUGGUGACAUUCCCUAACUGCCCGCAGUGGAUCUAGCACACAAGUCCAAGAGCCCACAAGUCCAAGAGAGUUCACAGAGCGCUUCUCCACCCUGCUUUGGUGCAGGUUCCUGAGCCAAUAUCGCUGUGCCAUGUACUGCUCUUUGGAUGUACAAGCUCUCCUAAGGUCAAUACAGCCCGGAUGCAAUGCCAGGUCUAAGAUCAUCAGAAAAGGAGCUGAGUUGUACUUCCAGCACAGGACACGGGGAGGAAGUGGUGGGACCAGGAGCAGAAGGGGAGACAGCAGCAGCCUCAGACCCAGGGGACUGUGA